AAGGUGGGGAUGAACGUCAAGUCCUCAUCGGCCUUUAUGACCGAGGGCUACACACGUACUACAAUGGCCGGUACAAAGGGCAGCCACUUAGCGAUAAGGAGCCAAUCCCGUAAAGCCGGUCUCAGUCCGGAUUGGAGUCUGCAACUCGACUCCAUGAAGUUGGAAUCGCUAGUAAUCGCGGAUCGGCAUGCCGCGGUGAAUACGUUCCCGGGCCUU
Molecule: ribosomal RNA, 216 nt
Filed under: uncultured Desulfocapsa sp.
Lineage: Bacteria; Pseudomonadati; Thermodesulfobacteriota; Desulfobulbia; Desulfobulbales; Desulfocapsaceae
Description: partial 16S ribosomal RNA
Rfam family: Bacterial small subunit ribosomal RNA
Source: RNAcentral